Molecule: long non-coding RNA, 88 nt
Organism: Amblyraja radiata (thorny skate)
Lineage: Eukaryota; Metazoa; Chordata; Chondrichthyes; Rajiformes; Rajidae
Exons: 3
Source: RefSeq, a predicted model, not a curated record
ACACUAUAAUACUAUAACACACUAUAAUACACUAUAAUACAUUAUAACACAAUAUAACACACUAUAACACACUUUCAACACUAUAAUA